RNAcentral lists this ribosomal RNA (306 nucleotides) under uncultured bacterium. RNAcentral's name for it is "bacterial SSU rRNA". It matches the Rfam family "Bacterial small subunit ribosomal RNA", at positions 773 to 1076 of the family's 1533-position model. The record is from RNAcentral.
AGGGAAUAGAUACCCUGGUAGUCCUGGCUGUAAACGAUGUCGACUAGAUCGCAGCGGCUCUGACGCCGUUGUGGUCGAAGCAAAAGUGCUAAGUCGACCGCCUGGGAAGUACGGUCGCAAGGCUAAAACUCAAAGGAAUUGACGGGGGCUCACACAAGCGGUGGAGCAUGUGGUUCAAUUCGAAGCAACGCGCAGAACCUUACCUGGGCUUGACAUGCUAGGAUUAUCCCUGUGAAAGCAGGGUAGGCCCUGGGUACGACUAGUACAGUGCUGCAUGGCUGUCGUCAGCUCGUGUCGUGAGAUGUC